Molecule: ribosomal RNA, 1125 nt
Filed under: Candidatus Nomurabacteria bacterium
Lineage: Bacteria; Candidatus Nomuraibacteriota
Description: bacterial LSU rRNA
Rfam family: Bacterial large subunit ribosomal RNA
Source: RNAcentral
GAAAUUUAAGGGCGUAUGGUGGAUGCCUUGACUUUAAGAGGCGAUGAAGGACGUGGCGUUGCUGCGAUAAGCUUCGGGGAGGUGCUUAGCUACCUUUGAUCCGGAGAUUUCCGAAUGGGGAAACCCUAUCAAGUAAACCUUGAUAACUUUUAUCUUUAUGAUAAAAGAGCAUACCCUGGGAAGUGAAACAUCUCAGUACCAGGAGGAAUAGAGACAAAUAUGUAUUUCCUUAGUAGCGGCGAGCGAAAAGGAAGAAGCCCAAACCGUUCUCGCAAGAGGGCGGGGUUGUAAGAUGACAAUGUAGUUUACUAGGAGAGUUAAAAAAUAAAUUAUUAGUUGAAGUUGCUGGAAAGCGACACCGUAGGGGGUGAUAGUCCCGUAAACGAAAAUAAUUUAUCUCUUUUAUUGUUAUUCUUGAGUACCCCAGGACAUGAAUGGCCGGGGGGAAUCUAGCGGAACUAACCGCUAAGGCUAAAUACUCUUAAAGAUCGAUAGUGAACAAGUACCGUGAGGGAAAGGUGAAAAGCAGCCCGAUUAGGGCGGUGAAAUAGACCUGAAACCAUAUGUCUACAAGGAGUCGGAGCAGGUAUUUAUAUCUGCAACGGCGUGCCUAUUGAAGAAUGAGCCAACGAGUUUAUUCAUACUGCAAGGCUAAGCUGGCUAAAACAGCAGAGCCACAGGGAAACCGAGUGUUAAUAGCGCGAAAUUUAAGCAGAAAACAAUAGACCCGAAGCCAGAUGAGCUUACCAUGACCAGGGUGAACCCCGGAGAAAUCCGGGGGGAGGCCCGAACCGUUUAGCCGUUCAAAACUAUCGGAUGAGUUGUGGUAAGGAGUGAAAAGCUAAUCGAAUCUGGGAAUAGCUGGUUCUCUCCGAAAUAGUUUUAGGACUAGCCCCGCGUGUUUUUUAUUGAAGGUAGAGCACUGGUUGGUAUUGAUUGGCGCAAGCUAGCAAGACCAGUCAAACUCCGAAUUCCAUUAAAAUAACUCGGGAGUCAGUAUUCGGGGGCAAAGCUCCGAAUACAAGAGAGCAAGAACUCGGACCAUCGUCUAAGGUCCCUAAAUUUUGGCUAAGUGUAGAAGGAAGUGAUGCGUCGAAGACAAAUAGGAGGUUGGCUUAGAGGUAG